UUAAGCGACUAAGCGUACACGGUGGAUGCCCUGGCAGUCAGAGGCGAUGAAGGACGUGCUAAUCUGCGAAAAGCGCCGGCGAGGUGAUAUGAACCCUUGACCCGGCGAUGUCCGAAUGGGGAAACCCAGUGUGUUCCGACACACUAUCGUUAACUGAAUACAUAGGUUAACGAGGCGAACCGGGGGAACUGAAACAUCUAAGUACCCCGAGGAAAAGAAAUCAACCGAGAUUCCCCCAGUAGCGGCGAGCGAACGGGGAGCAGCCCGGAGUCUGAAUCAGCUUGUGUGUUAGUGGAACGGUCUGGAAAGUCCGACGGUACAGGGUGAUAGUCCCGUACACGAAAAUGCACAUGCUGUGAACUCGAAGAGUAGGGCGGGACACGUGGUAUCCUGUCUGAAUAUGGGGGGACCAUCCUCCAAGGCUAAAUACUCCUGACUGACCGAUAGUGAACCAGUACCGUGAGGGAAAGGCGAAAAGAACCCCGGCGAGGGGAGUGAAAAAGAACCUGAAACCGUGUACGUACAAGCAGUGGGAGCACCUUCGGGUGUGACUGCGUACCUUUUGUAUAAUGGGUCAGCGACUUAUAUUCUGUAGCAAGGUUAACCGUAUAGGGGAGCCGAAGGGAAACCGAGUCUUAACUGGGCGUUAAGUUGCAGGGUAUAGACCCGAAACCCGGUGAUCUAGCCAUGGGCAGGUUGAAGGUUGGGUAACACUAACUGGAGGACCGAACCGACUAAUGUUGAAAAAUUAGCGGAUGACCUGUGGCUGGGGGUGAAAGGCCAAUCAAACCGGGAGAUAGCUGGUUCUCCCCGAAAGCUAUUUAGGUAGCGCCUCGUGAACUCAUCUUCGGGGGUAGAGCACUGUUUCGGCUAGGGGGCCAUCCCGGCUUACCAACCCGAUGCAAACUACGAAUACCGAAGAAUGUUAUCACGGGAGACACACGGCGGGUGCUAACGUCCGUCGUGAAGAGGGAAACAACCCAGACCGCCAGCUAAGGUCCCAAAGUCAUGGUUAAGUGGGAAACGAUGUGGGAAGGCACAGACAGCCAGGAUGUUGGCUUAGAAGCAGCCAUCAUUUAAAGAAAGCGUAAUAGCUCACUGGUCGAGUCGGCCUGCGCGGAAGAUGUAACGGGGCUAAACCAUGCACCGAAGCUGCGGCAGCGACACUAUGUGUUGUUGGGUAGGGGAGCGUUCUGUAAGCCGUUGAAGGUGUGCUGUGAGGCAUGCUGGAGGUAUCAGAAGUGCGAAUGCUGACAUAAGUAACGAUAAAGCGGGUGAAAAGCCCGCUCGCCGGAAGACCAAGGGUUCCUGUCCAACGUUAAUCGGGGCAGGGUGAGUCGACCCCUAAGGCGAGGCCGAAAGGCGUAGUCGAUGGGAAACAGGUUAAUAUUCCUGUACUUGGUGUUACUGCGAAGGGGGGACGGAGAAGGCUAUGUCAGCCGGGCGACGGUUGUCCCGGUUUAAGCAUGUAGGCGGAGGUUCCAGGUAAAUCCGGUACCUUGUUAACGCUGAGGUGUGAUGACGAGGCACUACGGUGCUGAAGUGAUAAAUGCCCUGCUUCCAGGAAAAGCCUCUAAGCAUCAGGUAACACGAAAUCGUACCCCAAACCGACACAGGUGGUCAGGUAGAGAAUACCAAGGCGCUUGAGAGAACUCGGGUGAAGGAACUAGGCAAAAUGGUGCCGUAACUUCGGGAGAAGGCACGCUGAUAUGUAGGUGAAGUCCCUGCGGACGGAGCUGAAAUCAGUCGAAGAUACCAGCUGGCUGCAACUGUUUAUUAAAAACACAGCACUGUGCAAACACGAAAGUGGACGUAUACGGUGUGACGCCUGCCCGGUGCCGGAAGGUUAAUUGAUGGGGUUAGCGGCAACGCGAAGCUCUUGAUCGAAGCCCCGGUAAACGGCGGCCGUAACUAUAACGGUCCUAAGGUAGCGAAAUUCCUUGUCGGGUAAGUUCCGACCUGCACGAAUGGCGUAAUGAUGGCCAGGCUGUCUCCACCCGAGACUCAGUGAAAUUGAACUCGCUGUGAAGAUGCAGUGUACCCGCGGCAAGACGGAAAGACCCCGUGAACCUUUACUAUAGCUUGACACUGAACACUGGUCCUUGAUGUGUAGGAUAGGUGGGAGGCUUUGAAGCGUGGACGCCAGUCUGCGUGGAGCCGCCCUUGAAAUACCACCCUUUAAUGGCUGGUGUUCUAACGUAGACCCGUGAUCCGGGUUGCGGACAGUGUCUGGUGGGUAGUUUGACUGGGGCGGUCUCCUCCCAAAGAGUAACGGAGGAGCACGAAGGUUGGCUAAUCCUGGUCGGACAUCAGGAGGUUAGUGCAAUGGCAUAAGCCAGCUUGACUGCGAGCGUGACGGCGCGAGCAGGUGCGAAAGCAGGUCAUAGUGAUCCGGUGGUUCUGAAUGGAAGGGCCAUCGCUCAACGGAUAAAAGGUACUCCGGGGAUAACAGGCUGAUACCGCCCAAGAGUUCAUAUCGACGGCGGUGUUUGGCACCUCGAUGUCGGCUCAUCACAUCCUGGGGCUGAAGUAGGUCCCAAGGGUAUGGCUGUUCGCCAUUUAAAGUGGUACGCGAGCUGGGUUUAGAACGUCGUGAGACAGUUCGGUCCCUAUCUGCCGUGGGCGCUGGAGAAUUGAGGGGGGCUGCUCCUAGUACGAGAGGACCGGAGUGGACGCAUCACUGGUGUUCGGGUUGUCAUGCCAAUGGCACUGCCCGGUAGCUAAAUGCGGAAGAGAUAAGUGCUGAAAGCAUCUAAGCACGAAACUUGCCCCGAGAUGAGUUCUCCCUGAGACCUUGAGUCUCCUGAAGGAACGUUGAAGACGACGACGUUGAUAGGUCGGGUGUGUAAGCGCAGCGAUGCGUUGAGCUAACCGAUACUAAUGAACCGUGAGGCUUAACCUU
Molecule: ribosomal RNA, 2902 nt
Filed under: Enterobacter hormaechei
Lineage: Bacteria; Pseudomonadati; Pseudomonadota; Gammaproteobacteria; Enterobacterales; Enterobacteriaceae
Also listed under: 2 other names
Description: 23S ribosomal RNA
Rfam family: Bacterial large subunit ribosomal RNA
Source: RNAcentral